CGUGCGUAACACAUGCGAGUCGAGCGGUAAGGCCCUUCGGGGUACACGAGCGGCGAACGGGUGAGUAACACGUGGGUGAUCUGCCCUGCACUUCGGGAUAAGCCUGGGAAACUGGGUCUAAUACCGGAUAUGACCUCCGAUCGCAUGGUUGGUGGUGGAAAGAUUUAUCGGUGCAGGAUGGGCCCGCGGCCUAUCAGCUUGUUGGUGGGGUAAUGGCCUACCAAGGCGACGACGGGUAGCCGACCUGAGAGGGUGACCGGCCACACUGGGACUGAGACACGGCCCAGACUCCUACGGGAGGCAGCAGUGGGGAAUAUUGCACAAUGGGCGAAAGCCUGAUGCAGCGACGCCGCGUGAGGGACGACGGCCUUCGGGUUGUAAACCUCUUUCAGCAGGGACGAAGCGCAAGUGACGGUACCUGCAGAAGAAGCACCGGCUAACUACGU
This 446-nucleotide ribosomal RNA is filed under the name Rhodococcus sp. 1S2.E8. RNAcentral describes it as "bacterial SSU rRNA". It matches the Rfam family "Bacterial small subunit ribosomal RNA", at positions 43 to 506 of the family's 1533-position model. The record is from RNAcentral. Lineage: Bacteria; Bacillati; Actinomycetota; Actinomycetes; Mycobacteriales; Nocardiaceae.